GACGAACGCUGGCGGCGUGCCUAAUACAUGCAAGUUGAGCGAUGAAGAUUGGUGCUUGCACCAAUUUGAAGAGCAGCGAACGGGUGAGUAACGCGUGGGGAAUCUGCCUUUGAGCGGGGGACAACAUUUGGAAACGAAUGCUAAUACCGCAUAACAACUUUAAACAUAAGUUUUAAGUUUGAAAGAUGCAAUUGCAUCACUCAAAGAUGAUCCCGCGUUGUAUUAGCUAGUUGGUGAGGUAAAGGCUCACCAAGGCGAUGAUACAUAGCCGACCUGAGAGGGUGAUCGGCCACAUUGGGACUGAGACACGGCCCAAACUCCUACGGGAAGCAGCAGUAGGGAAUCUUCGGCAAUGGACGAAAGUCUGACCGAGCAACGCCGCGUGAGUGAAGAAGGGUUUCGGAUCGUAAAACUCUGUUGGUAGAGAAGAACGUUGGUGAGAGUGGAAAGCUCAUCAAGUGACGGUAACUACCCAGAAAGGGACGGCUAACUACGUG
RNAcentral lists this ribosomal RNA (497 nucleotides) under uncultured bacterium. RNAcentral describes it as "partial 16S ribosomal RNA". It matches the Rfam family "Bacterial small subunit ribosomal RNA", at positions 28 to 507 of the family's 1533-position model. The record is from RNAcentral.